RNAcentral lists this ribosomal RNA (462 nucleotides) under uncultured bacterium. Its description in RNAcentral is "SSU rRNA". It matches the Rfam family "Bacterial small subunit ribosomal RNA", at positions 26 to 518 of the family's 1533-position model. The record is from RNAcentral.
AGGAUUAACGCUGGCGGCGUGCCUAACACAUGCAAGUCGAACGAGGUAGCAAUACCUAGUGGCAGACGGGUGAGUAGCGCGUGGUCAACCUACCGUUGAGUGGGGGAUAACUAGCCGAAAGGUUAGCUAAUACCGCAUACGUCUCCGAGGGGCAUCCCUUGGCGAUAAAAGGAGCAAUCCGCUCGAUGACGGGACCGCGUCCCAUUAGCUAGUUGGUGGGGUAACGGCCUACCAAGGCGUCGAUGGGUAGCUGGUUUGAGAGAGCGACCAGCCACACUGGGACUGAGAUACGGCCCAGACUCCUACGGGAGGCAGCAGUGAGGAAUUUUCCGCAAUGGGCGAAAGCCUGACGGAGCGACGCCGCGUGUGGGAAGAAGGCCUUCGGGUCGUAAACCACUGUCGAAGGGGAAGAUAAUGACGGUACCUUGGAGGAAGCCCGGCUAACUACGCGCCAGCAGCCGC